UACGUAGGGUGCAAGCGUUGUCCGGAAUUAUUGGGCGUAAAGAGCGUGUAGGCGCCAGACAGGUCCGUUGUGAAAACUGGAGGCUCAACCUUCAGACGUCGACGGAAACCGUCUGGCUAGAGUCCGGAAGAGGAGAGUGGAAUCCUGGUGUAGCGGUGAAAUGCGCAGAUAUCAGGAGGAACACCGGUGGCGAAGGCGGUUCUCUGGGAAUGUACUGACGCUGAGGAGCGAAAGUGUGGGGAGCAAACAGG
RNAcentral lists this ribosomal RNA (251 nucleotides) under uncultured bacterium. RNAcentral's name for it is "partial 16S ribosomal RNA". It matches the Rfam family "Bacterial small subunit ribosomal RNA", at positions 524 to 776 of the family's 1533-position model. The record is from RNAcentral.